RNAcentral lists this ribosomal RNA (503 nucleotides) under uncultured bacterium. Its description in RNAcentral is "bacterial SSU rRNA". It matches the Rfam family "Bacterial small subunit ribosomal RNA", at positions 27 to 518 of the family's 1533-position model. The record is from RNAcentral.
GGGUGAACGCUAGCUACAGGCUUAACACAUGCAAGUCGAGGGGCAGCAUUGAGAUAGCUUGCUAUUCAGAUGGCGACCGGCGCACGGGUGAGUAACGCGUAUCCAACCUUCCCCUUAGUAGAGGAUAGCCCGGCGAAAGUCGGAUUAAUACUCUAUGUUGUAUUUUGAGGACAUCUGACGAAUACCAAAGAUUCAUCGCUAAGGGAUGGGGAUGCGUCUGAUUAGCUUGUUGGCGGGGUAACGGCCCACCAAGGCGACGAUCAGUAGGGGUUCUGAGAGGAAGGUCCCCACAUUGGUACUGAGACACGGACCAAACUCCUACGGGAGGCAGCAGUGGGGAAUAUUGGUCAAUGGGGCGAGAGCCUGAACCAGCCAAGUAGCGUGCAGGAAGAACCUGCCCUAUGGGUUGUAAACUGCUUUUAUCAGGGAAUAAAGUGCGGCACGUGUGCUGUUUUGUAUGUACCUGAUGAAUAAGGACCGGCUAAUUCCGUGCCAGCCGCUGC